CGUAGGGUGCGAGCGUUGUCCGGAAUUAUUGGGCGUAAAGGGCUCGUAGGCGGUCUGUUACGUCGGGAGUGAAAACUCGGGGCUCAACCCCGAGCCUGCUUCCGAUACGGGCAGACUAGAGGUAUGCAGGGGAGAACGGAAUUCCUGGUGUAGCGGUGAAAUGCGCAGAUAUCAGGAGGAACACCGGUGGCGAAGGCGGUUCUCUGGGCAUUACCUGACGCUGAGGAGCGAAAAGUGUGGGGAGCGAACAGGAUUAGAUACCCUGGUAGUCCACACCGUAAACGUUGGGCGCUAGGUGUGGGACUCAUUCCACGAGUUCCGUGCCGCAGCUAACGCAUUAAGCGCCCCGCCUGGGGAGUACGGCCGCAAGGCUA
RNAcentral lists this ribosomal RNA (374 nucleotides) under uncultured organism. Its description in RNAcentral is "bacterial SSU rRNA". It matches the Rfam family "Bacterial small subunit ribosomal RNA", at positions 526 to 896 of the family's 1533-position model. The record is from RNAcentral.